AGCACCUGACCCCAUGCCGAACUCAGAAGUGAAACGCCGUAGCGCCGAUGGUAGUGUGGGGUCUCCCCAUGCGAGAGUAGGGAACUGCCAGGC
Molecule: ribosomal RNA, 93 nt
Filed under: Salmonella enterica subsp. enterica serovar Senftenberg
Lineage: Bacteria; Pseudomonadati; Pseudomonadota; Gammaproteobacteria; Enterobacterales; Enterobacteriaceae
Source: RNAcentral